Molecule: ribosomal RNA, 422 nt
Filed under: uncultured bacterium
Lineage: Bacteria
Description: bacterial SSU rRNA
Rfam family: Bacterial small subunit ribosomal RNA
Source: RNAcentral
UCGAGAAUCUUCGGCAAUGGGCGCAAGCCUGACCGAGCGACGCCGCGUGGAGGACGAAGGCCUUCGGGUUGUAAACUCCUGUCGAGGGGAAGGAAGGGACGGUGCAGAGCCGUCCUUGACCGCUCCCUGGAGGAAGCACGGGCUAAGUUCGUGCCAGCAGCCGCGGUAAGACGAACCGUGCGAACGUUAUUCGGAAUCACUGGGCUUAAAGCGCGUGUAGGCGGGCUGUCACGUCGGGCGCUGAAAUCCCCCGGCUCAACCGGGGAACGGGCACCGAUACGAGCAGCCUGGAGGGGAGUAGGGGGACCUGGAACUUCCGGUGGAGCGGUGAAAUGCGUUGAGAUCGGAAGGAACGCCCGUGGCGAAAGCGAGGUCCUGGGCUCUUACUGACGCUGAGACGCGAAAGCCAGGGGAGCGAACGG